GAAAAGUAUCGGCAUGAGUGCGCUGGAUAGUACGUUCUGAUUAUUCAAUGUAUUAGGUUUAUCCAACUCGUUGAAGGAUCAGGUGUAAAUUUCUGGUGGCAUGGCUCGGCCUUAUAACGACCAACAAGUUUGACCUCAAAUCAGGUAAGAAUACCCGCUGAACUUAAGCAUAUCAAUAAGCGGAGGAAAAGAAACCAACAGGGAUUGCCUUAGUAGCGGCGAGUGAAGCGGCAAUAGCUCAAAUUUGAAAUCUGGCGUCUUCGGCGUCCGAGUUGUAAUUUGAAGAAGGUAUCUUUGAGGCUGGCUCUUGUCUAUGUUCCUUGGAACAGGACGUCACAGAGGGUGAGAAUCCCGUGCGAUGAGAUGCCCAGUUUCGUGUAAAGUUCCUUCGACGAGUCGAGUUGUUUGGGAAUGCAGCUCUAAGUGGGUGGUAAAUUCCAUCUAAAGCUAAAUAUUGGCGAGAGACCGAUAGCGAACAAGUACUGUGAAGGAAAGAUGAAAAGAACUUUGAAAAGAGAGUGAAAAAGUACGUGAAAUUGUUGAAAGGGAAGGGCUUGAGGUCAGACUUGGUUUACCAGGCCAGCAUCAGUUUGGGUGGCAGGAUAAUAGCUAAGGAAAGUGGCACGAUUUCGGAUUGUGUGUUAUAGCCUUGGUUGAUACUGCCUGCCUAGACUGAGGACUGCGUCUUUGACUAGGAUGCUGGCAUAAUGACCUUAAGCCGCCCGUCUUGAAACACGGACCAAGGAGUCUAACGUCUAUGCGAGUGUUUGGGUGUUAAAC
This 780-nucleotide ribosomal RNA is filed under the name Yamadazyma naeodendra. RNAcentral's name for it is "LSU rRNA". The stretch from base 131 to 780 matches the Rfam family "Eukaryotic large subunit ribosomal RNA", at positions 1 to 707 of the family's 3401-position model. Lineage: Eukaryota; Fungi; Ascomycota; Pichiomycetes; Serinales; Debaryomycetaceae. The record is from RNAcentral.